This 247-nucleotide long non-coding RNA is filed under the name Anser brachyrhynchus (Pink-footed goose). RNAcentral's name for it is "lncRNA (ENSABRG00000016624.1)". Lineage: Eukaryota; Metazoa; Chordata; Aves; Anseriformes; Anatidae. The record is from RNAcentral.
CCCUGCUUUGAUACUAGUAAACGUGCUCAAAGUUCUCUAGGGACCUCUAAGGGCUGAAAAAUUCUCCCUACCACAGUUGCUGUGGGAUAGAGCACGUACAGCGUGAAAGAAAUAGAGUGAAAGGUCCUGGCAAGAUGCCCAUCCUACUUCUCGGAUAAAGGCCUUGGCUCUACUAAGAGGUAACAAAGAAGAAGAGCAGGUUUCAGAAGGUAUGAAAGGAAGCUGCAAAGAAUUGUGGACUUACUGA